RNAcentral lists this transfer RNA (61 nucleotides) under Kleidocerys resedae resedae. RNAcentral's name for it is "tRNA-Asp". The record is from RNAcentral. Lineage: Eukaryota; Metazoa; Arthropoda; Insecta; Hemiptera; Lygaeidae.
AAAAAGUUAGUUUAAGAAAAACAUUAAUUUGUCAAAUUAAAAAUAUUAAUAAUACUUUUUU